Molecule: ribosomal RNA, 491 nt
Filed under: uncultured bacterium
Lineage: Bacteria
Description: partial 16S ribosomal RNA
Rfam family: Bacterial small subunit ribosomal RNA
Source: RNAcentral
GACGAACGCUGGCGGUAUGCUCAGCACAUGCAAGUCGAACGAGACAAGAUGGAAGUGCUUGCACGGAAAUCUUAGAAAGUGGCGAACGGGUGAGUAACGCGUGGGUAACCUGCCCUAAGGAAAGGAAUAGCCUCGGGAAACUGGGAGUAAUGCCUUAUAAGAUAUAUUUGUCGCAUGGCAGAUGUAUUAAACGCUCCGGUGCCAUAGGAUGGACCCGCGUCCCAUUAGCUAGUUGGUGAGAUAACAGCCCACCAAGGCGACGAUGGGUAACCGGUCUGAGAGGGCGAACGGUCACACUGGAACUGAGACACGGUCCAGACUCCUACGGGAGGCAGCAGUGGGGAAUAUUGCGCAAUGGGGGAAACCCUGACGCAGCAAUACCGCGUGAGUGAAGAAGGUUUUCGGAUCGUAAAGCUCUGUUAUUGGGGAAGAAAAAAAGACGGUACCCAAGAAGAAAGUCCCGGCUAACUACGUGCCAGCAGCCGCAGUAA